GAUGAACGCUAGCGAUAGGCCUAACACAUGCAAGUCGAGGGGCAUCACAUGAAGUAGCAAUACGGAUGGUGGCGACCGGCGCACGGGUGAGUAACACGUAUGCAACCUGCCUUCAACAAGGGGAUAACCCGUUGAAAGACGGACUAAUACCCUAUAACACAGGGGUCCCGCAUGGGAAUAUUUGUUAAAGGACAACCGGUUGAAGAUGGGCAUGCGUUCCAUUAGCUAGUUGGCGGGGUAACGGCCCACCAAGGCAACGAUGGAUAGGGGAACUGAGAGGUUUAUCCCCCACACUGGUACUGAGACACGGACCAGACUCCUACGGGAGGCAGCAGUGAGGAAUAUUGGUCAAUGGACGCAAGUCUGAACCAGCCACGUCGCGUGAAGGAAGACGGCCCUACGGGUUGUAAACUUCUUUUAUACGGGAAUAAAGUGCCCCACGCGUGGGGUUUUGCAUGUACCGUAUGAAUAAGGAUCGGCUAACUCCGUGCCAGCAGCCGCGGUAAAUCACACUACAC
This 518-nucleotide ribosomal RNA is filed under the name uncultured bacterium. RNAcentral's name for it is "bacterial SSU rRNA". It matches the Rfam family "Bacterial small subunit ribosomal RNA", at positions 28 to 535 of the family's 1533-position model. The record is from RNAcentral.